CUGGCUCAGGAUGAACGCUGGCGGCGUGCCUAACACAUGCAAGUCGAGCGUGAACCCUUAGAAUGAAACUCGGCGAAUGAAGAGGGGGAAAGCGGCGGACGGGUGAGUAACGCGUAGGCAACCCUGCCCCGUACAGAGGGAUAGCCUCGGGAAACCGGGAUUAAAACCUCAUAAUACCAUGGUAUCACAUGAUGCAAUGGUCAAAGAUUUAUCGGUAUGGGAUGGGCCUGCGUCUGAUUAGCUGGUUGGUGGGGUAACGGCCUACCCAAGGCAACGAUCAGUAGCCGACCUGAGAGGGUAAUCGGCCACAUUGGAACUGAGACACGGUCCAAACUCCUACGGGAGGCAGCAGUGGGGAAUAUUGCACAAUGGGCGAAAGCCUGAUGCAGCAACGCCGCGUGAGCGAAGAAGGCCUUUGGGUCGUAAAGCUCUGUCGGGAAGGAAGAUAAUGACGGUACUUCCCGAGGAAGCCCCGGCUAACUACGUGCCAGCCGCCGC
RNAcentral lists this ribosomal RNA (498 nucleotides) under uncultured bacterium. Its description in RNAcentral is "bacterial SSU rRNA". It matches the Rfam family "Bacterial small subunit ribosomal RNA", at positions 19 to 518 of the family's 1533-position model. The record is from RNAcentral.